Long non-coding RNA from Alligator mississippiensis (American alligator), 4652 nucleotides. RefSeq lists it as uncharacterized. NCBI's taxonomy places the organism in Eukaryota, Metazoa, Chordata, Crocodylia, Alligatoridae. The transcript is spliced from 4 exons. The record is from RefSeq and is a predicted model, not a curated record.
CCCCCCCGCCUGGGGCACUGGUGCAGAAGGGCUGGGAAGGGCUGGGAAUGCUGCCUCUGCUGUUUCCACGGCAACGGGCUCUCAUUUAACUUUGAAGCGGCCCUGAGUAACUCAAGCUGAAGUUUCCCUGCCAGUUAAAGACACAGCUUCCUGCUGCUUUAGUCCAUCUUUCUCAGUUGUUAUGAUCUAGAGGCCAGGAUAUUUCGCCUGGGAAAUACAAGGUGGUGCUCUGAGCCUAGCAGGAUGCCGCUGAGAAAUGCUCAGGAGCUGCCCAGCUGUGAGCCUCCGGGACUGGGAGGGCAGAACCAGGCAUUGAAGUGUGGGAUUUUAAAAUCAUAGCCUGGGUUAGCCAAAGCUGCAGUGUCAGCCUGCUCCAGCUCCUCCCUGGGGCUGGGGCACAGCUUUGUACUGCACUGGGCUCUGGGCUCGGGGACUGGGAGCAUCAAUGUGACACUUUUCCCUGUGGCUCAGCCCACUAGUGGUCUUCCAGCAAUAGGGAACUGCCCUCCUACUGCCUGCUCUUAGGAUGAGGAUCAUUUUGUUCCACCCCCCCACCCCCAACAGCACUGGGAAGUCCCUUGCAUGGAAGGAGCUCCUGGGCUAGAUGUACAGGCAGCUCUUCUUCCCAGGCCCUGCACCUCACUGUACUCCGCUGUUUGUGUGCAAGUGCUCGUGUGUGUGUAAAUUAGGCAAAGAGCAAAGGCCAGUGGAGUCGCAUCUGGUACAGUCUACACUGGCUGGCUGGUUAUGGACUGCAGCAGCCUGGGUCUGAAUUUUGAUUGUAGCAAUGCACAGCAUACAUACUUGUGCGAGCACACGUGUGCACACACACACACACACACACACACACACACACACAUGCACAUUAAAUGGAAUUAAUGAAUGAGGGUUCUUACAGGCCAGCUGCUAGGCCAAGCCACCCUGUCCAGUGUAGGGCUGCUACUCAGUGCAAAUACUGUAUCUUCAAGACAGCUCUGCUGGCUGCAGGUGUGGCAUGUCUUGCACAUCUCCAUGGUAUCAUUGGCCAGCCCUGAUGCCUCUUGCAACAGCCAUGCCAGUGCUUUGGUCUUUGGUCUUUCCUCCUCAGCUGUGUCAUUCUCAUUCUGCUUUGUCCUUCUCUGUAGCACUCCACUGAUGAUUUUUUCUGGCCACUCUAUGUCUGGGAUUUGUCUAGGCUGUUUUUUAUGAAGACUUGGGGUAUACAUAGCAGGAUAUUGAUAAAUCUCUGCUUUUCAGAACUGUACAUUUGUGGUAAAAAGAUGGAGUUUUGUUUGAGAGCCAGGGUUCAGUUUCUCUAGCUUGGCUUCAGGAUCACAAGGGCAUGCUCUGGUUUUGUAUGUUUUGGCUUGCAUGGCUCUAAUCCCCCUUCUGCCUUCCUCAGCAGCAGAGCCGUGAGAGUCACAGGAUCCCACAAGCUCUCCCCAUUGUGUCAAGGUGCGAGCUGUGGGUAAAGGGAGCUGAAUUCUGUCGCCUAUUCUGGAGGCAGACAGCCUGGAUGGGACAGUACUAUGGGAAAAGCAAAGGGCUGGCUAGUCAGAGCAUUCUAGCAGUGAGCCUAUUGUAUCAGGCACUGUUUGGCUGCAUCACAGAAAGCCUUGGGCCACUUUAGAGGUGUGGGCUCAUGAUCAGUUGGUAGGCUACUCUCCUGAACUGGUUCUGAGCAAAUGCCCCAGCCAAGUUGGCAUGGGGCUCUGGAGGUGCCCUCUUCCUGAUGAGAUGUAUAACUGAGGCCUGCUCUAUGCUGUGGGUGAUAGUCAGAUGCCAGACAGGAGUUGGGCACUUGCCCUGCUGAUCUGCCUACAUCCCAGCUCCCUCUUUGCAUCAUAAUUUAGCGCAUGCAUUGCUGAAGCACCAGCUGGCCUAUCAGUGAUUGGGGUCUGUAGUUCCAGCCAAAUGGAGCACCCCUCGCUUCCUGCCCCAGCUGUGGCGCACCCUGCCACCCAUCAUCAUGCUGCUGCAUUCCACCCUCCAGCUCCCACCGCACCCUGGCAUGCAGGGCUGUGAGGCCACUGGGGAGUGCUCUGAGUCCCGCGGAUGAAAGGUGCCAAGGUUUGUUGUUACAAGAGUUGGCCUUUUUUGGAGUCCCUCUGUAGCAGGUGCAUUGUGUCACAGGACCAGUGCAGCCAGGGAGUAAUAGCACAUCAUCUGCAUGUGUACGGUCAACUAAAACAGGUACACAUGGCUACCUGCCCCAUGCACAGGCUGGACGUGGAUGUGGCAGGAGGGUGGGGCCAGGCUGCUUGCUUCACCCCUCACCACCUGUUUCCUGGAACAGACCUGCUUAUUCAGCCCGUGUUUGUAUUUCGCACAAACACUGGUUAUUUGACACACUGCUUCCUUCUCAGGUUUUACUUUUGUUUUAAAGAAACAAAAGCUGCCCUGUGGUGCAGCAAUAUCCCUAGCCAGCCUGUGUUGCCAAGGAGAUGGUUGGACAGUUCAGGCUGGAAUUAAGAGCUUGUGUUAGACUCAUGGGGGCCGUCGGAAGAGGAUAAAUUGUGGCCCCCUCCAUUUUCCUAUCCUCACGCUGCAUGACUUGCAUUUCCCCAUUAAGGAUCGGAGUAGGAUCUGCCCAGAGUACAGUGUGGUAGGGCUGUCAGGUGUCAUGGGGAGGAAGGUCUGCUCUCCCCCCAGCAGAAAGUACUUUCUUCCACGCCAGGAUCGGGAACCACUGAUAGUGGGAUAGCUUGAAAUGAAUGAGACCACAGCCCUGUCUGUGUAGCAGAUUCACCAUGCUGGCAGGGGUGCCCUCCUGUUCACUGUGCUGUCCUGAACAGGCUUCCACGUGGGCCAGAAGCAGCAUCUUUGUACCUGUGCAACACUGCAGAUGGACUAGUUAGCAUCAGGGGCAAGCUAAUUGGUACAGGCACUAAGCAGUGCUAACUAGGUCACCUGGAGUGCCCCACAUGGCCACACUGUUUCUGUGGAGCAGUGUGGCCUGCUUGAGGGCACUGCUGAUGGCAGUCAGUUUACCAUGAAGACAUGGCCUGGACCCGCUCCCCUUGAGGAGGCAGUCCCUGUUGUUCUGAGAUGAGGUGGCAGCCCCUAGGGUGAGACAGUGGCAGCAAACUCUAGGGUGGCCUUGACCUGCGUCCCCCAUGCCUUGGAGGGAAGGGUGGAGCCCAAGCUCCAGCAUUACAGCAGGUUGAAGACAGCACAGGGGCGAUGAAGCUGGGUACUGAGCUCUGAAGGAGUGGGGGAGGCCGAGCCUUACAUGAUCUCACCAGGGCGCUUAGUCUCCUUGGUGCCCGGACCAGGCUGUUCUUCCUUUGCCUAUUGAGUGGCCAGGCAGAGACAGCUGUGGCAUGUCAGUGCUUUGAAAUAAACAGUCCAUUCAUUCCACAGCUGACCUGCGGGACCCCGUUUCCCAGAGCACUGCAUCUCUUCAUGCCGGAACACAGGCACAGCUGUUCCUUCCCUACGCGGGUGUCUCUGCCUCUCUCACACCCGCCCUUUAUAGUGUCCCAGACUGCUUGGCCAGGGCACUGCUCAUACUGCUGGAGGACAAGGGCACUGCUGAGGGGAAGCUCACUUUGUUCAAGUCCUGGCUGCCAUUUCCAGAGUGCUGCUAUACAAAAGUUCACAAGGCUGAAGCCCCAAGAAAUGAUGUGCCUUGCCCCCUGGGCUUGUGACAUGACAGAGGCUUGUACAGCACAGAGCAGGCCACAGAGAGCAGCUGCCCUUUGGUGAGUUUUCCAUGGCUGGUUCAAAGCUGGAAUCCACCUUCCCACUCGGCCAGGUGCCAGGCUGGUGUUGCUCAAGACAGGUUGAAUUCAGUGAAGGCAUACUGGAAGCCAACUGGAGUGAACACUAGAACCAGGGUAAGGAUCCCUGGCACCUGGUCAUAAACAAUGAAAUGGCUCCCAUUUUACUGGUAGGCUUGGAAGCUACAUAAAAGUUGGUUGAGAGCUUCAUUGCAAACCUCAGCAUAGAUCGGAUGAGUCUCCUAUUUCCAAAAGGAUGGGGAUCCUGCUGGUCAGACCUAUAAACUAGAUGGGGAGGGUGUGUGAAUGAGCCCAAACAAGCAACCAUGAUGAACAACUUGAGACUAGACUCAGACUUGCUGGGCAGGAUUUCUCCUCUUAGUAUCUUAUUUUCCCUUCACAUUCAGGGCAGGGAGGAAAUGGGUGACCAAGGUCACAAGAAUGUUUCCAAAUGAAGCCUGGCUCUUCCCACUAAAGGAACACCUGUGCAGCUCCAUGGCCAGGGAACAGCAGGCUGUGAAGCCUGAGGCAGAUCCUGAGGUGGUGGGAAUUGGCACAUCCCCACUGACGGCAAUGAAGCUCUGCAGAUUUGUAGCAGCUGAGCAGUUUGUCUGACCUAGCAUGUGAAUGAUAACUCAAAGGCAGGAUGAGGAUGCCAGGCCUGGAAAAGCCCUUGGAGGGUCACUUGCAGAAGAAAUGCUGCAGCGUGGGCAUUGCCUGCAGGACUGGAGACUUGGCAAUGCCUGGGCAUGCGCUGAGCUGGAUUCCACCCUCAGUUUCACAGGUGCAGCACCAGAGCAACCUGAGCGCAGGCAGCGGUCCCACUCUGGCUUUCCAUAGGUGGGACUGAUAGCUGGAGCUGAGGUGAUCAUCAGCCUGUGUCCUGGGCACCUGGGCUCAACAUUUCCUGCUUGCUGAGAAGUGAUCACAUGACCACCUGCUUUAAAAAUA